UUCUUCAAACUUUGCAAAUGGCUUUCCUCUGUGCUGAGACCCUAGAAUCCCUGAAUCAAACCUGCUAUGACUAUGGAGAAGAACAUGUCAAUAGCCCUGUGGUCACCAACCCAUCGAUCGUGAUCUACUGGUCGAUCUUGGGAUUCCAACCAGUCGAUUGUGAGGCUUUUGGGGGCCCCCUCACUGCCCCAACCCCCAAGAUGAAUGCUGCGCUGAUGCGACCUCCAGGAAUAACGGAGAUAGAUCAUUUUAAAGGGAGCAGUCAUCAACUCUAGAAGAAACCAAAUCUAAUCCAGCUUUGUCCUCAGUGAUUUUCAACAGAUGGUAUCUCAAAUCAAACCAGAUAACAUAUUCAGUAUUCUUCAUUACAAACACGAGGCUCAGUUGCAAAGGAAAUUCUUGAUAAGUAAAUUGUAAAGGCAGGUCAGGAUUGGAGAAGAUAAAUUUUAUGUUCAUGUCUUGUUACAGGACCAUAUUCAAUGUGUUUGCUCCACUUUCCUAUCUGAGGGCCCAAUCCUGCAUUGAAGUCAGUGAGAAUUUUGGAUGUGUAAGGACUGCAAAAUUGACUCUGUUUGUUUAAAGAAUAGAAUGGACAAUGUUUGGAGUGCUUGUCUGUUGCCCCUUUACUGUGAUAUAUAGUGGAUCUAGAAUGGAAUUUACCAGGCUAACCCUCCUCACCUCAGACCACCUCUAUUUUUCAGUAGACUUUUUAGUAGGUAUAAUGCUAGGACUUCACAUGGAACAGGUAUAAGUGAUCCUCAUCUCUUUUGCAAAAAGCAUGGGGAGAAAAAAAGGUACAUUCACAGUAUAGCUAAUAUAAUUCUAAAAUUAAAUAGUGCUUGCAAAUAGGAUUAAGUGGCACAUUCAGGCUGCUAUCUUUUUUCUGCUUGAUGCUUUUGCAGUCUGUUUGCAGAAAGUACACCUCAAUCAAAAUAUUUGUCUCAUGUGAGUCCCUGUAGGCUAUAAAGAGAAGGCGUUCUGAUAGUAGAGAAACAGGAAAUGUGUAGAGUGACCAUAUUUCCUUGUGCUGAAUACUGGACACUUGUUAAAAUUACUUCGAUUCAAGUGAGUUGAACAGCAGUCAAUCACAACUGUGCAAUACAAAUGUUCAAAAUAACAUGAAAUUUACUGAGCACCAAUUAAAAAGACUUACUGCAUUAUUAUAGCAUUAUCAAUAGGUAAAAAUUAAAAGUAUAUACUGAUAAUUAAUUAGUUACUGCCCUUUAGAAGUGCCUGCCUUGUCCUCAUCUUGCUUUCUGUACAGUGCGAUGCUUCUUGUGUACUCUAUUUGUCAUGUGAAGCAAUUUUUUGAAGGAUCCAUUUAUUUUUCAGCAACUUUUCAUAAAAGGUAGCAUAGUCUAGGUCAAAAUUCAUUCCCAGAAACAAAAUAGCCUUCAUGGUAGAAACACUGACACAUGAUUUUUCAGGUGACCAAACUGCAUUAAUGAGGGCUGUGGUGCCUGACAUAACACAAAACAAACUCAAUUACCUAUGCCAGAUCUGAGUAUUCCACUAUCUUACUGUCCAAUUCUGGAAAAAACCUUCUGUCACCUUUCAGAAAUGGGAGUUUUCUAAGUGUUCCAGUCACACAUGUGACAAGAUAUUAGUGGUUUUGCAUUUGUUCAUUCAUCAAAAAGAUGAUUCCCAUCUAUGAAACAUAGGAUGGGAAUUCUUGUGUGGCAAAGGCAAGACUGCUUUGUAUAUUAUCCCAAGCUAGCAUGUUUCUCAACAGGGCACACUCAAACUUUUCUUGCAUUCAAAGGCAGGAUUCCAGUACUGCACAUACUUCAGAAACGUUGAAUAAAAAUUCUCGACUGCAUUGUGAAAUUCCUGUUCCUUAAUUUUCCCAUCCUCAAUCAAAGACUGCAGCAGGGACACUGUGUAUGAUGUGAAAAAUCUUUCUCUGAGCCUUAUGUUACAUUAUUUUGAAGGGUAUAGAUAUACAGAAUCACCAAUGAGUUGUUUUUCUUUAUUGCCUCUACCGUGGUUUUGCUCAGGAAGUACUGGUAGCUGGUGCAAGAGGAGGAACAUCAGAUAGUAGAUUGAAGGGGGAGCAACAGGCC
Non-coding RNA from Pelodiscus sinensis (Chinese soft-shelled turtle), 2063 nucleotides. The record is from RefSeq and is a predicted model, not a curated record. Lineage: Eukaryota; Metazoa; Chordata; Testudines; Trionychidae.